UGCGGGAUCGUCUAAUGGUAGGACAGCGGAUUCUGGAUCCGCCGAUCUAGGUUCAAAUCCUAGUCCCGCAGCAA
Molecule: transfer RNA, 74 nt
Filed under: Candidatus Woesebacteria bacterium
Lineage: Bacteria; Candidatus Woeseibacteriota
Description: tRNA-Gln
Rfam family: tRNA
About the family: Transfer RNA (tRNA) molecules are approximately 80 nucleotides in length.
Source: RNAcentral